Molecule: long non-coding RNA, 2141 nt
Filed under: Sus scrofa (pig)
Lineage: Eukaryota; Metazoa; Chordata; Mammalia; Artiodactyla; Suidae
Description: lncRNA (ENSSSCG00060015037.1)
Source: RNAcentral
AUUUGUCAUGAAAUCUUUUUUUUUUUCCUUUUAGAAGUCCAUUUUAGAAAACACUGGUCAGGAAAGUACAUUAUCCUCAAAGAGAUGGUGACAUCAUAGGAAAGCAAGCUAAAAUGGACUUUUGCGUAGAAAUUAAAUUGUUUUAGUUUUGAGUUCUUAAAUUGGAUUGAUUUAAGAAGGAUACAACCAUUUCUCAGGCCUGUGUAGAAAAGUUAAGUUUGGUGCAGGUGGAAGGCUUAACCAUACAAACAGCAAGACCAGGUCAAAGGUCUUCCCAAGAAAGAGGCUUCCUCACUCUGCCUGAUGAAACCCUCUGUGUCUGUCAGUACCGUCAAAGCACAGAGAAGCGCACAGCCCCACACAGGCCCCUGGUUCUUCCUAUCAGCUCUGUGAUUAGAGACCAGAUCACCAAAUUACAGGCAGAUGACCUCAGUUGCUGACUGAAUCUGUCGGGGCUCACUGUUUAGUGUUUUUGAACCCUUUCGUGAAAGACCAGAGUCUCCUUCCUUCCCUUCCUGUCUGGUUUGCAUCACUGACAAAUUCCAUUUCUCCUCUCUUGAAAAAGACAUUCUUCUUUGGCCCGCUCCCUGUGAGAGAACACAAACCACUCCAAGAUGAGCUGGAAUGCAGCCUUCAUCAUAGGACGAUGAUCUUUUCCAACUGUAUUCAAGUCUGGAGUUCUUCGGGUAAAAAUUAAUCUUCCUGUGGACUCCAGAGGGCCCAUGGGAUUUUCCUUUUGGAUUAGUUGGAUGGUAGCAAGAGGUGUCCUUUGAUCUUUAAGAACAGCUGCAAAAAGGAAAAAAGAAAGAAGAAAAAGUCAAGAUUGGCCACACUUAGGGCUUUGGUGGAAUUACAGGAGAAGAGACCAAGGUGACUUUUCAAUCAGCUCAUCCUUUAAGGGAAGGCUCUGCAAAUGUUCAUCGAGAAAGACCAGUGGAACUGAGAAGACCCUCAAGUAAGCAAUGGGCACAGCAUACCUCAGUCAGACUGUGCUCUUGGGAUUUCGUCUUACUGGUGCAGAUGUGACUCUCAAGCAGUGGGUGGGAUGCCUAUGCCUACCAGGAUUUCCCAGACAGAGUGUUUAACACCUAGAGAGAGCCUAUUUCUACGCUGGGUGAAAAGGCCCAUUUCAGCUCACAGUCCAAGAUGAGAGUCACUUUUUCUGCUCAAGAGAAUAUAGUUCAAGAUUUCUCUCCUGCUACCACAGCAUGGACAGAAAAUGGAACUGCCCAACCAGAGGGAAAGGAGAUCCUAUCAAAGAAAAAGGAGGCCAGAGCUGGCCUUCAGAUAUACACAAUGGAAUACUACUCAGCCAUAAAAAAGAAUGACAUAAUGCCAUUUGCAGCAACAUGGAUGGAACUAGAGAAUCUCAUCCUGAGUGAAAUGAGCCAGUAAGACAAAGACAAAUACCAUAUGAUAUCACUUAUAACUGGAAUCUAAUAUCCAGCACAAAUGAACAUAUCCCCAGAAUAUUUCUUAUUCUAGUUUCUUCCAACCUACAGGAUGACAGUAUUAUGAUCAGUACAGCUGAAAUACUGAGAGUAAUCUUUCUUUGUUAGGUAUGGUUACAAUUCCAGUAAGUAGGGUGACAUUCAGAAUGUUUGCCAGCUAGUCAGCCUGGGGCCCUGGAUCAGGGAUCUGAAAUUCUUUGGCUGUUGAAUGGGAAGGAGCUGGGGGUGGGUGGUUCCUAAAGACAGAGCUGAAACUUCAGGGAGCAAAGGGUGAUGGGAGGGUAUUUAUUUCAUUGACUUCUCAAAGGGAACACAAGCCUAAGACUGAUUAAGAGGAAGCUGACUACAUCAGAGUUUAAAACUCUGUGCAUCAAAGGACACAAUCAACAGAGUACAAAGCAACUUAUGCAAUGGUAGAAAAUAUUUGCAAAUAAUAUGUUUCAUAAGAGAUUAAUGUCCAGAAUAUAUAAAGAGCUCCUAUAACUCAACAACAACAACUACAACAAAACAAUUAAAAAUGAGCAAAGGGCUUAAGCAGUAAAUUUCUUUGAAGAAGAUAUACAGAUGGCCAAAAACAUGUGAAAAGAGCUCAACACCACUAAUUAUCAGGGUAAAGCAAAUCAAAACCAUGAGAUACCAUUUCACCCCCUUUAGGGGGGUUACUAUAAAGAGAAAAAAGAAAAAAAAAAA